UACGUAGGGUGCGAGCGUUUAAUCGGAAUUACUGGGCGUAAAGCGUGCGCAGGCGGUUUUGCAAGCCGGAUGUGAAAUCCCCGGGCUCAACCUGGGAAUGGCAUUCGGGACUGCAAGGCUGGAGUGCGGCAGAGGAGACUGGAAUUCCUGGUGUAGCAGUGAAAUGCGUAGAUAUCAGGAGGAAUACCGAUGGCGAAGGCAGGUCUCUGGGCUGACACUGACGCUCAUGCACGAAAGCGUGGGGAGCAACAGG
RNAcentral lists this ribosomal RNA (253 nucleotides) under uncultured bacterium. RNAcentral's name for it is "partial 16S ribosomal RNA". It matches the Rfam family "Bacterial small subunit ribosomal RNA", at positions 524 to 775 of the family's 1533-position model. The record is from RNAcentral.